AAGCUCAUUGCUUUAGUUCUGGUAGAUGCUGCUUAUUUUUCAAGACGGUUUUAAUAGCUUUAUAUUGAUUUGUAACAAAGCCAGCUUCACUUUGAGAGAACCUAGAUGCUAAUUGUAAAGAAGCUUGGAGUCAUAAUAUAUUUUAACGUAAUAUGUUUGCUGUUCUUCAUCUUUUUAAAUAUGAAGUCUAUCCAUGUUUGUGUUUACAGAGGUCAUGUACACUGUGGUCAACUUUGUGGACGCUGAAGAGGUUUCUGGGGAAAGAUGAUAGAAAUAUAAUGAAGUAACAGUGGAAGUUAAAACAUCAGACUGAUCCAGACACUGAAGAAAUUGAUGUCACUGCAAUCUGGCCAGAAUGAUACAACUAUAUUGAAGUAGCCUAUUGUAAUGAAGCUGCAGAACGUCACAGAGACUCUGAGGACAUCAACACAGAAAAUCUAGGCUCCAAAGAGAUGUCUGUCCAGAUGAGGGUGCAUCAACGUUACCUUUGCUGACAAGUAUAUGCUUUACAAUGUAAAACCUAACAGUUAACUUAACUCAAACCAUUUAAGGAAAUCGGUUGCCUUAAACCAUUAAGUUUUAAAAAACAUACAUUUGAGUACUGUGAACUUAAGUCUUGUGCAAUUAUGCACUUAUAUUUAGGUAGUGUGAACUUAAAUAUAAGUGCUUAACUGCAUGUGACUCAGUUUGUUUAAGUUCACAGUACUCAAAUCUAUGUGUUUUAAAACUUGAAUGGUUUAAUGCAACCGGUUUUCUUAAAUGUGAGAAAUUAGUGUUACAGUGAGAAAUGUUUGAAUAAUUCCAAGACAGAGCUCUGUGAUUGAUUCUACACUGCAAAAAAUCACUUUCUAACACUUUUUAUCUUGUUUUCAGUAGAAAAACUAAAUAUUCUUAAAUCAAGAUGUAUUUUCUUGAUGAGCAAAAUUACCUUAGAAAAUAUGUCUAGUUUUUAGACAAAAAUAUACAAUUUAAGAUAAUUUGUGGUUAAACAAAAAAAAUCUAACAAUGGGGUGAGAAAAUUGUGUUUUAAGUUUUUAAGAAAAAAGAAAACUUAAGAUUUUUUUCUCACACUAUUGGCAGAUAUUUUUGCUUGUUUUAAGCUCAAAUUCACUUAAUGUGUGUGUGUGUAUUUUAUUUAUUUAUUUUGUCUAAAACUAGACUUAUUCUCUUGGGUCAUUUUGUUCCUCAAGAAAAAGCAUUUUAAUUUAAAUAAUAUUUCUACUGAAAACAAGACAAAAAUACUAUGUAAGAAAGUCAUUUUUUGCAGUGUAGGACUGAUUUCUUAAGAGCAAGAUCAAUAUAGUUGUUGUUCAUUUUAUUUAGAUAUUUACUACAUUACAGUGGCAAGCU
Molecule: non-coding RNA, 1350 nt
Organism: Misgurnus anguillicaudatus (oriental weatherfish)
Lineage: Eukaryota; Metazoa; Chordata; Actinopteri; Cypriniformes; Cobitidae
Source: RefSeq, a predicted model, not a curated record